Molecule: transfer RNA, 85 nt
Filed under: Felis catus (domestic cat)
Lineage: Eukaryota; Metazoa; Chordata; Mammalia; Carnivora; Felidae
Rfam family: tRNA
About the family: Transfer RNA (tRNA) molecules are approximately 80 nucleotides in length.
Source: Rfam by way of RNAcentral
GGCUGGAUAGCUUAGGUGGUUAAGCAUCUGACUUUGGUUCAGGUCAUGAUAUCACGUUUUGUGAGUUCAAGUCCCGCUUCUCUCU